ACACCUCAACUCUUGCGGUUUUGCCGUGAUGAGCUUGGACUUUGGGGGUCUUGCUGGCCUGUGGUCAGCUCCUCUCAAAUGAAUCAGCUUGCCAGUGUUUGGUGGCGUCACGGGUGUGAUAACUAUCUACGCUUGCGGCUUCCACCAGGUAACCUUCAGUGAUGGAGGUUCACUGGAGCUCACAAAUGUCUCUCCUCGGUGAGGACAGCUCUUUGAAU
RNAcentral lists this unclassified non-coding RNA (218 nucleotides) under uncultured Tomentella. RNAcentral describes it as "sequence contains ITS2". The record is from RNAcentral. Lineage: Eukaryota; Fungi; Basidiomycota; Agaricomycetes; Thelephorales; Thelephoraceae.